RNAcentral lists this transfer RNA (72 nucleotides) under Camelus bactrianus (Bactrian camel). It matches the Rfam family "tRNA". Rfam says of the family: Transfer RNA (tRNA) molecules are approximately 80 nucleotides in length. Their secondary structure includes four short double-helical elements and three loops (D, anti-codon, and T loops). Lineage: Eukaryota; Metazoa; Chordata; Mammalia; Artiodactyla; Camelidae. RNAcentral also lists the same sequence under 2 other names. The record is from Rfam by way of RNAcentral.
GAGGGUCUAGCUCAGUGGUAGAGUGCGUGCUUAGCAUGCACGAGGUCCUAGGUUCAAGCCCCAGUACCUCCA